RNAcentral lists this ribosomal RNA (504 nucleotides) under uncultured bacterium. RNAcentral describes it as "bacterial SSU rRNA". It matches the Rfam family "Bacterial small subunit ribosomal RNA", at positions 28 to 524 of the family's 1533-position model. The record is from RNAcentral.
GACGAACGCUGGCGGCGUGGAUUAGGCAUGCAAGUCGAACGGUAUCAUCCUUUCGGGGGUGAGAGAGUGGCGAACUGGUGAGUAACACGUAGGUUAUCUACCCUCAAGACGGGGACAACCCAGGGAAACUUGGGCUAAUACCGGAUGUGAGCAACUUUUAGUUGUUUGAAAGGUGGCGUAAGCUGUCGCUUGGGGAUGAGCCUGCGUCCUAUUAGUUAGUUGGUGAGGUAACGGCUCACCUAGGCAAUGAUAGGUAGGCGGCCUUAACGGGUGGUCGCCCACACUGGGAUUGAGAUACGGCCCAGACUCCUACGGGAGGCAGCAGUCGAGAAUAGUCUACAAUGGUCGGAAGACUGAUAGUGCGACGCCGCGUGAACGAUGAAUCCCUUCGGGGUGUAAAGUUCUUUUAUAUGUGAGCAGUGCUUCUUAUAUUAACAGUAUGGGGAGAGAGAUAUUAGCAUAUGAAUAAGCAACGGCUAACUCCGUGCCAGCAGCCGCGGUAAU